Molecule: non-coding RNA, 295 nt
Organism: Pelobates cultripes (western spadefoot toad)
Lineage: Eukaryota; Metazoa; Chordata; Amphibia; Anura; Pelobatidae
Source: the annotation of a GenBank genome assembly
CGAGUUACUGUGUGCGAAUCGUUUGAUACAAUUAGACAGAUACUCUGUCUAAUUGGCACAGACACCUGUUCUCUCUGAGAAUAAACAAACGACAAAUAAUCUGAUGCUGCCCUCAGUCCCGAAAAACCUCUUCUCUGGAACUCGUAAUGGGUCCCCAUAGCCACUUACCUAGGCAACGAGCGUGGAGGGAGACAAAAACUGGGACAAGAUGAGCUUAAAGGACCACUAUAGUGCCAGGAAAACAUACUCGUUUUCCUGGCACUAUAGUGCCCUGAGGGUGCCCCCACCCUCAGGG